This 471-nucleotide ribosomal RNA is filed under the name Triticum aestivum (bread wheat). RNAcentral describes it as "partial small subunit ribosomal RNA". The record is from RNAcentral. Lineage: Eukaryota; Viridiplantae; Streptophyta; Magnoliopsida; Poales; Poaceae.
AUGAACAGAUUUUGGAGGUUCAUAGCCGACAAGGAGCUCCUUGACCUUUACUUACACGGACGCCGAUAUACUUGGUCUAGCGAGCGCGACGCUCUGACCCUUGUCCACAUUGAUCGCGUGCUUUGCACCUCCGGUUGGGAGAUCGCUCCUCCCAACUGCUUGCUCCAGUGCCUCUCCUUCGCGGCCUCAGAUCACUGCCCCCUGCUCGUGGAUUGUGUCUCUCACCCGCCCGGCGCUCGCCGCUUCCACUUCGAGCAUUUUUGGCCGAAGCUCGACGGGUUCCACCACGUGGUCUCCGAGGCGUGGAACUCUGUCCAUCCUGACCCUGAUCCCUAUCGAUGCAUCGUGGCGCGUCUCAAGGCCACCGCUCGUCGCCUCCAGUCUUGGAGUGCACGCACCAUCGACAAACCACAACGAGGCUUGGUUGCGGCAAAAGCUCAAGAGCUCCUACCUUGGACUGGCCUCCCUUGA